AGUGAACGCUGGCGGUAGGCCUAACACAUGCAAGUCGAACGGCAGCACAGGAGAGCUUGCUCUCUGGGUGGCGAGUGGCGGACGGGUGAGGAAUACAUCGGAAUCUACUCUGUCGUGGGGGAUAACGUAGGGAAACUUACGCUAAUACCGCAUACGACCUACGGGUGAAAGCAGGGGACCUUCGGGCCUUGCGCGAUUGAAUGAGCCGAUGUCGGAUUAGCUAGUUGGCGGGGUAAAGGCCCACCACAGCGACGAUCCGUAGCUGGUCUGGGAGAAUGAGCAGCCACACUGGAACUGAGACACGGUCCAGACUCCUACGGGAGGCAGCAGUGGGGAAUAUUGGACAAUGGGCGCAAGCCUGAUCCAGCCAUACCGCGUGGGUGAAGAAGGCCUUCGGGUUGUAAAGCCCUUUUGUUGGGAAAGAAAUCCAGCUGGCUAAUACCCGGUUGGGAUGACGGUACCCAAAGAAUAAGCACCGGCUAACUUCGUGCCAGCCGCCGCAGUAA
Molecule: ribosomal RNA, 506 nt
Filed under: uncultured bacterium
Lineage: Bacteria
Description: partial 16S ribosomal RNA
Rfam family: Bacterial small subunit ribosomal RNA
Source: RNAcentral